RNAcentral lists this transfer RNA (74 nucleotides) under Candidatus Methylomirabilota bacterium. Its description in RNAcentral is "tRNA-Gly". It matches the Rfam family "tRNA". From Rfam's summary of the family: Transfer RNA (tRNA) molecules are approximately 80 nucleotides in length. Their secondary structure includes four short double-helical elements and three loops (D, anti-codon, and T loops). Further hydrogen bonds mediate the characteristic L-shaped molecular structure. tRNAs have two regions of fundamental functional importance: the anti-codon, which is responsible for specific mRNA codon recognition, and the 3' end, to which the tRNAs corresponding amino acid is attached (by aminoacyl-tRNA synthetases). tRNAs cope with the degeneracy of the genetic code in two manners: having more than one tRNA (with a specific anti-codon) for a particular amino acid; and 'wobble' base-pairing, i.e. permitting non-standard base-pairing at the 3rd anti-codon position. Lineage: Bacteria; Methylomirabilota (SeqCode). The record is from RNAcentral.
GCGGGUAUCGUCCAAUGGCAGGGCGAAGGCUGCCCAAGCCUUAGAUGCGGGUUCGAUUCCCGCUACCCGCUCCA